AUAUUCGACUAUAAUUGGUUAAUUUCUUAUGGCAUAAGGCUUACUACACCUAUUGUAGAUCUGGCCUUACAGACUAGCCUUACGAUUUUUAUAAAAAUACUCAAUUGUGAUUAGUCAAUUUUUUACAGCUUAAAGCUUAAGUCUUUAUUGUAGACUACGCCUAAGAUGGAUCUUAAAUAAGAUCAGUCUAUGAAUUCCGUCCAUAAACGUACAAUACGGGAGAGGUUUAGUGGCGUAUAGUACAAUUGGACACGUUGCAAUUGCCCACCGUGCUAUUAAGGUGCCUUUUCACGUUGACGCUUGACGCGCCAGACGCCGAUGUAAAGCCCGUUUUACAUUGGCUAUGUUCAGAAAACAACCGUUGCACAACAGUUGAGUAAUUCACUAAUAUAAUUGGUCCAAAUUUAGAGUUCUAACAGUAAGGACUAAUAAUCUACUACUAAUAAUCACUGACCGCUCACUGAUCAAUUGUGUUUUUUGAACGUAACUAUUAAGCCUCGUUGACAAGUUGCCAACAGCCAGUUGCGACUUGCGACAUCCAAUAAGCGUUUAGUUUCUAGUUAAAGCUCGACAAUCAUUGGGUGUACGCACACAUACAACACAUGAAAGCACAUUAUAGAAAAUAAGAUCAUGCGCAUGUCACAAAAAAGCAAAAAGCAGAUUCUUAAGAUGACUGUUUGAUUAUUAAGGUGCCUUUUCAUGCUGACGCCUGACGCUCAUUUUCAGCGUCAAAAGACAUUACGUGACUAAAAAUAAAGAUACCCGUUUGUCAUUUUUAGUCACGUGAUGUUUUUUGACGCUGAAAAUGAGCGUCAAGCGUCAGCGUGAAAAGGCAUCUUAAGGUGGAAGCACAUAAAAUUGCAGGAGCUGUAAGACAGAAUGCAGAAGCCAUAGCGCAUGCGCUAUGGUAUUACUUUAUCUGUCCAUGAAUUAAUAACAAUGAACAAUUACGAGAAUGAAGUAAGUAAUAUACUAAUAUUAUAUAGUAGAUGUGGAAUAUUUUGAUCAUUCUUGUUGUGCAUAAAUAUGCUGCUUUUUGGGACAUUAAGUCAUGACUCGUGAUAAUUACAUUUUUAGGAAACAAGCGGCAGUUUCACGACGCGAAUGUUUUGCCACUAUUUCUACCUCCAUUAGACAAGCGGCAAAUUUAGUUACGUGAUCCCCAUUUACCGCUGGUUUCUAGCGUCCAUGAAAGUUGUUGACGUUUCAGUAUCGUACUUAAGAUGGAUCUUGAAUAAAAUCGGUCUAUGAA
Molecule: long non-coding RNA, 1252 nt
Organism: Monomorium pharaonis (pharaoh ant)
Lineage: Eukaryota; Metazoa; Arthropoda; Insecta; Hymenoptera; Formicidae
Exons: 2
Source: RefSeq, a predicted model, not a curated record